This 253-nucleotide ribosomal RNA is filed under the name uncultured bacterium. RNAcentral describes it as "partial 16S ribosomal RNA". It matches the Rfam family "Bacterial small subunit ribosomal RNA", at positions 524 to 776 of the family's 1533-position model. The record is from RNAcentral.
UACGGCGGGUGCAAGCGUUGUCCGGAAUCACUGGGCGUAAAGCGCACGUAGGCGGCUUUGCAAGUUAGAGGUGAAAGCCCGGGGCUCAACUCCGGAAUUGCCUUUAAAACUGCAUCGCUAGAAUUGUGGAGAGGUAAGUGGAAUUCCGAGUGUAGAGGUGAAAUUCGUAGAUAUUCGGAAGAACACCAGUGGCGAAGGCGACUUACUGGACACAUAUUGACGCUGAGGUGCGAAAGCGUGGGGAGCAAACAGG